UACGGGGGGGGCAAGCGUUGUUCGGAAUUACUGGGCGUAAAGGGCUCGUAGGCGGCCUACUAAGUCAGACGUGAAAUCCCCCGGCUUAACCUGGGAACUGCGUCUGAUACUGGAAGGCUUGAGGAUGGGAGAGGGAUGUAGAAUUCCAGGUGUAGCGGUGAAAUGCGUAGAUAUCUGGAGGAAUACCGGUGGCGAAGGCGGCAUCCUGGACCAUUACUGACGCUGAGGCGCGAAAGCUAGGGGAGCAAACGGG
This 253-nucleotide ribosomal RNA is filed under the name uncultured bacterium. RNAcentral's name for it is "partial 16S ribosomal RNA". It matches the Rfam family "Bacterial small subunit ribosomal RNA", at positions 524 to 776 of the family's 1533-position model. The record is from RNAcentral.